AUAGCGAGUUGCGCAGCUUGCGCCGUGACCUUUGUUGCCAUGGUAAUCAUGGCUGUACCUUGAACCUAAAUUCCAUGUUUCCGGUUGACCAUUGCUAAUUAAGGCCGUGUCGCUUAAGGCGCUACCACAGCACACCUGAUCUACGCAUGUCGCCGUGCGCAUCUUUGUUUUAACCUCAAGAGGAUUUAGAUUCCAAGCCUAUUUUAAUUUUUGGAUCUCGUUUAUUAUCUUACAGAGGAGCAAUGUGCUGAAAUAUAAGACUUGUGUGCCUACAACUUGGUGUAAAGGGGAUCGCUAAUGCAAUCAUAAACUUGGUGGCUGAGAUAAAGCGGCUGAGGAGAACAGAGGCUUGUGAGUGGAAUAGGUUGGUGGAACUUGUGUACAGCCCUUUCUAUGUUCAACAAAUGUCUCAGGUGGAAGUACAUUUAGUACAGUUUCCAUGAAGAUCCAGCUUUAUUCAAG
This is a long non-coding RNA of Physella acuta, 462 nucleotides long. RefSeq lists it as uncharacterized. Lineage: Eukaryota; Metazoa; Mollusca; Gastropoda; Physidae. The record is from RefSeq and is a predicted model, not a curated record.